Molecule: ribosomal RNA, 759 nt
Filed under: uncultured bacterium
Lineage: Bacteria
Description: bacterial SSU rRNA
Rfam family: Bacterial small subunit ribosomal RNA
Source: RNAcentral
AACGGAAGCAAAGAUUUCGGUUUUUGCUUUAGUGGCGAACGGGUGAGUAACGCGUGAGGAACCUGCCUUUCAGUGGGGGACAACAGUUGGAAACGACUGCUAAUACCGCAUAAUGCUUUUGAGUGGCAUCACUUAAAAGUCAAAGAUUUAUUGCUGAAAGAUGGCCUCGCGUCUGAUUAGCUAGUUGGCGGGGUAACGGCCCACCAAGGCGACGAUCAGUAGCCGGUCUGAGAGGAUGAACGGCCACAUUGGGACUGAGAUACGGCCCAGACUCCUACGGGAGGCAGCAGUGGGGAAUAUUGGGCAAUGGGGGAAACCCUGACCCAGCAACGCCGCGUGAAGGAAGAAGGCCUUAGGGUUGUAAACUUCUUUUACCAGGGGCGAAAGAAAUGACGGUACCUGGAGAAAAAGCAACGGCUAACUACGUGCCAGCAGCCGCGGUAAUACGUAGGUUGCGAGCGUUGUCCGGAUUUACUGGGUGUAAAGGGCGUGUAGGCGGAGAUGCAAGUUGGGAGUGAAAUCCAUGGGCUCAACCCAUGAACUGCUUCCAAAACUGUAUCCCUUGAGUAUCGGAGAGGCAAGCGGAAUUCCUAGUGUAGCGGUGAAAUGCGUAGAUAUUAGGAGGAACACCAGUGGCGAAGGCGGCUUGCUGGACGACAACUGACGCUGAGGCGCGAAAGCGUGGGGAGCAAACAGGAUUAGAUACCCUGGUAGUCCACGCUGUAAACGAUGAAUACUAGGUGUGGGAGGACUGACCCC